RNAcentral lists this ribosomal RNA (466 nucleotides) under uncultured bacterium. RNAcentral describes it as "partial 16S ribosomal RNA". It matches the Rfam family "Bacterial small subunit ribosomal RNA", at positions 28 to 507 of the family's 1533-position model. The record is from RNAcentral.
GAUGAACGCUGGCGGCGUGCUUAACACAUGCAAGUCGAACGGAAAGGCUCCUGCUUGCAGGGGUACUCGAGUGGCGAACGGGUGAGUAACACGUGGGUGAUCUGCCCUGCACUUCGGGAUAAGCCUGGGAAACUGGGUCUAAUACCGGAUAGGACGAUGGUUUGGAUGCCAUUGUGGAAAGUUUUUUCGGUGUGGGAUGAGCUCGCGGCCUAUCAGCUUGUUGGUGGGGCAUUGGCCUACCAAGGCGUCGACGGGUAGCCGGCCUGAGAGGGUGUACGGCCACAUUGGGACUGAGAUACGGCCCAGACUCCUACGGGAGGCAGCAGUGGGGAAUAUUGCACAAUGGGCGCAAGCCUGAUGCAGCGACGCCGCGUGGGGGAUGACGGCCUUCGGGUUGUAAACUCCUUUCGCUAGGGACGAAGCGCAAGUGACGGUACCUGGAGAAGAAGCACCGGCUAACUACGUG